This is a long non-coding RNA of Pantherophis guttatus, 476 nucleotides long. RefSeq lists it as uncharacterized. NCBI's taxonomy places the organism in Eukaryota, Metazoa, Chordata, Lepidosauria, Squamata, Colubridae. The record is from RefSeq and is a predicted model, not a curated record.
AUACAUACUUCCAUUGCUCACUUCUGUGCUCCAUGAUGAAAUUCAGUGGGGGAAACCCUAUCAAUUCUAUCCUGAGCAUUUUCUUGACUCUGAAGGAAAAUUUGUGAAGAGGGAUACAUUCAUGCCAUUUUCUGCAGGUCGAAGAAUAUGUGCAGGUGACAACCUGGCCAAAAUGGAGCUCUUCCUCUUCUUCACCAGCUUCCUGCAAAUAUUUACCUUCCAUCCACCCCCAGGAACAUCUAAAGAUAACCUGGACCUCACCCCCAUUUUUGGACUUUCCGCCUCUCCAAUGCUUUUCAAGACCUGUGCUAUGUUGCGUUGAUCUGAAAAAAAAUAUAACAAGCUGUUUUUUAUGCUUUGAAAUUGCUUUUUUUUUUUUUUUUAACGGCAAGGCAAUAUCUGACAAUCUGAUGCCAUAUGGUCUAGUUUUUAGAUGUUGUUUAAAGACUAAAUUGUAUAAAAGAAAAGAAAAGUAA